Molecule: transfer RNA, 77 nt
Filed under: Candidatus Bathyarchaeota archaeon
Lineage: Archaea; Thermoproteati; Candidatus Bathyarchaeota
Description: tRNA-His
Rfam family: tRNA
About the family: Transfer RNA (tRNA) molecules are approximately 80 nucleotides in length.
Source: RNAcentral
CCGCCGUAGCUCAGCCUGGAAGAGCGGCAGGCUGUGGACCUGUAGGUCGCGGGUUCAAAUCCCGCCGGCGGCCUCCA